RNAcentral lists this ribosomal RNA (460 nucleotides) under uncultured bacterium. RNAcentral describes it as "partial 16S ribosomal RNA". It matches the Rfam family "Bacterial small subunit ribosomal RNA", at positions 338 to 795 of the family's 1533-position model. The record is from RNAcentral.
CCUACGGGUGGCAGCAGUGAGGAAUAUUGGUCAAUGGACGAGAGUCUGAACCAGCCAAGUAGCGUGAAGGAUGACGGCCCUAUGGGUUGUAAACUUCUUUUAUAUGGGAAUAAAUGAGGGCAUGCAUACUCUCUUGUAUGUACCAUAUGAAAAAGGCUCGGCUAAACCCGUGCCAGCAGCCGCGGUAAAACGGAGGGUCCGAGCUGUUUCCGGAUUUAAUGGGGUUAAAGGGAGGGUAGGUGGAUAGUUAAGGCCGUUGUGAAAGUUUGGGGGUCAACCGUAGAAGUGCAGUUGAAACUGGCAGUCUUGAGUACAGUAGAGGUAGGCGGAAUGCGUGGUGUAGCGGUGAAAUGCUUAGAUAUCACGAAGAACUCCGAUUGCGAAGGCAGCUCACUGGACUGCAACUGACACUGAUGCACGAAAGUGUGGGUAUCAAACAGGAUUAGAUACCCGGGUAGUC